UAAAAGUAAUUUUUGGCUUGUUAGAUUUUAUAAAACAACUUGAUAUUUAUAUAUACAAAUUGAAUCUAUGCAAUGAGUAAUGACAUGAAUAGUUUAAGUUAUGAUUAAUAAAUGUGCCAGCUAUCGCGGUUAUACAUUAAUAUUAUAUCUUGAUUUCAGGUUUUGUUUAUAAGUAAAAAAUCCGAAGGUUAGAAAUGAAAUAUUGUGAAAUGUUUUCAGUUUCGGUAGUUUUCGUGAUAAUAUUAUAAACAUGAAGUUAGAUUAAAGACCAAGAUUAGAUACCUUGUUAUUCUAAAUUUUAUAAAUUAAGAAGUAUAAUAAUAGUUAAACUUAAUUGAAAUGGCGGUAAAAUAUUUUAUUAGAGGAGAUUGUUCCAUAAUCGAUAACCCUCGUUAUUAACUUUUUUUUUAUUAUGUAUAUCGUCGUUGAAAUAUAAUUUGAGAUUAAAUUGAGAUAAUUUUGGAUUUUGGUCAACAGAUCUAGAUACAAAUAAUAUGAAAGUAGGAAAUGGUCUACAAUUAAAAAGACAUUCAUUAAAAUAUUUGUUCAAAUAUUUUGAAAAAGUAUUUUAGAGAAUCUAAGAGUAAUUUUAUCUAGUAUAAAAAAUUUUUAUAAUAAUAUGAUUUAUAUUAGUUUUAUGCACAUAUUGCCCGUCACCCUCAUUAGAGGUAAGUCGUAACAAAGUAGAUUAUUUGGAAGAAUAAUCUGGU
RNAcentral lists this non-coding RNA (710 nucleotides) under Trichuris sp. LO613. The record is from RNAcentral. Lineage: Eukaryota; Metazoa; Nematoda; Enoplea; Trichinellida; Trichuridae.